UUGGAGGGCAAGUCUGGUGCCAGCAGCCGCGGUAAUUCCAGCUCCAAUAGCGUAUAUUAAAGUUGUUGCAGUUAAAAAGCUCGUAGUUGAAUUUCGGGAUCAGUUGGUCGGUCGUGCCUCGGUACGUACUGGUCAAAUUGAUUCCUACCUUCUGACGAACCACGAUGUCAUUAAUUUGGUGUCGCGGGAAAUCAGGACUGUUACUUUGAAAAAAUUAGAGUGUUUAAAGCAGGCUCGCGCUUGAAUACAUUAGCAUGGAAUAAUGAAAUAGGACGUUUGAUUCUAUUUUGUUGGUUUCUAGGAUCGACGUAAUGAUUAAUAGGGAUAGUUGGGGGCAUUAGUAUUCAAUUGUCAGGGGUGAAAUUCUUGGAUUUAUUGAAGACUAACUACUGCGAAAGCAUUUGCCAAGGAUGUUUUCAUUAAUCAAGAACGAAAGUUAGGGGAUCGAAGACGAUCAGAUACCGUCGUAGUCUUAACCAUAAACUAUGCCGACUAGGGAUCGGAUGAUGUUAAUUUUUUAAUGACUCAUUCGGCGCCUUACGGGAAAC
This 548-nucleotide ribosomal RNA is filed under the name uncultured Glomeromycotina. Its description in RNAcentral is "SSU rRNA". It matches the Rfam family "Eukaryotic small subunit ribosomal RNA", at positions 548 to 1098 of the family's 1831-position model. Lineage: Eukaryota; Fungi; Glomeromycota. The record is from RNAcentral.